AUGGGGCGCGUGAAGCUGGCCAUCAAGCGGAUCGAGAACAACACGAACCGGCACGUGACCUUCUCCAAGCGCCGGAACGGGCUCAUCAAGAAGGCCUACGAGCUCUCCGUCCUCUGCGACAUCGACAUCGCCCUCCUCAUGUUCUCCCCCUCCCGCCGCCUCUGCCCCUUCUCCGGCCGCCACGGGGUGGAGGAUGUGCUUCUCCGGUACCUCAACAUGUCCGACAACGACCGGGGAGAACCCAUCCAGAAUCGAGAGUACCUCAUCAACAUGCUCCAGAGGCUCAAGCGCGAGAGCGACAUGGCCACACAGCUAGCAAACCCGGGGGCAUUGAACGAGAAGGUAGAGGAGAUUCAGAAGGAGAUAUACGCGUGUCAGCAGCAGCUGCAGAUCUCCGAGGAACGCCUCAGGCUGUUCGAGCCGGACCCCGCCGCGUUCGGUUCCAUGGUUGAGAUCGACAAUUGCGAGAAGUUCCUCAUGGACAUGCUCACCCGCGUCGUCGAGAGGAAGAACUACCUGCUGAGCAACCUGGCCCCGUUCGACCCGACGGCGCCCGGGAUGCAGGGCGGGAACGAGGCGCAGAUGUACGUGCACGCGAUGAAGACGGAGGAAGGCGGCGGCAUGGGCACGUUCGCCGGCGACGCCGCCGCGCUGUGGGGCUCCGACGACGGGCAGAACCCCGGCCACCAGAUCUUCGGCGGGACGGACCCGAUGAUCUACCUCAGCGACCCGGACGUGUACGACGGCAAAUCGCAGGUGGCCGGAAUGCACGGCGGCGACGGAGACGUCGGGGGCAGCAGCCAGACGGCGGAUCCGUGGCGGCAGGCGUACAGCUGCACCGAGCUGCUCUCCACGCUCAUCCCCAACACGCCCUUCCCUCUCAUGCAGCACUGCCUGGGGCCCGACGACGGCCAGUACCUGCCGGCCAUGGUGCCGGCGGCACAGGACCAGCUCGAGGCGUCCGCCAGCUGCUCCUACAACAUACCCACCAGCGACGAGAGCGGCACGCCCGUCAUGGCGUACGACGGCGGCGGUGGCGUGCCGCCGCCCAACGUCGGCUGA
RNAcentral lists this ribosomal RNA (1062 nucleotides) under Triticum aestivum (bread wheat). RNAcentral's name for it is "partial small subunit ribosomal RNA". Lineage: Eukaryota; Viridiplantae; Streptophyta; Magnoliopsida; Poales; Poaceae. The record is from RNAcentral.